Long non-coding RNA from Setaria italica (foxtail millet), 2051 nucleotides. RefSeq lists it as uncharacterized. The transcript is spliced from 5 exons. Lineage: Eukaryota; Viridiplantae; Streptophyta; Magnoliopsida; Poales; Poaceae. The record is from RefSeq and is a predicted model, not a curated record.
CUACAGAUUUUGAAAUAUUUCCACCAGAAAAGUAAGAAUCUUUUAAAAAAAGAAAAACAAAAAAACAAAAAAAGUCGGCCCUGCCUAAGAAUCUUUAAAAAAAAGAAAAAGCUAAAAAACAAAAAAAGUCGGCCCUGCCGCCUCCCUUCUCCACCCAAGCCCUAACGCGGGUCCUCCUCCCCGAUGUACGCCGCUCGCACCUCCGUCCUCCGCCCGGUCGCGCCUCCUCCACCGUCCGCCAGCCGGGCUGCCUCCUUCCUCCACUGCGCCGAGCAUCCCCCGGGCGGCACGCCCCCUGCUGGAUCUCCUCCGUCCUCCGCCACGCCGGGCCACCUCCGGGCGCCCCACGCCGGCGCCCCACGCCGGCGCGUCCCCUCUACGGCCCCACGCCGGCGCGCCCCCUGCACAGCUUCCCACACGAUCCAUUCCGGCGGCGGCGCUGGAAAACGGGAGGAGGUGCCCCAUCGAGUCGCCGCCGCCACCCACAAGCGGAACAAGGCGGCGGCGGCUAAGGAGCACGGAAGGGCGCUCGCCUUCGCCCACCUCCAUGUGAUGCUGCUCCAGUCGGUCUUCAACGUCUACAGUGGGUCGCGGAGGCCGACCAGCUCGGCGUGGCCGCGCCCGUCUCUUAGGGACCCCGACAUCGUCCUCGACCUGUGAGUAGCCGCCCGCCUUGUCCCCACCGAUCCCAGCCCGUUCUUGUCCCCACCGAUCAUCACCCCGUAUCCAGAGGCGACGGCUGCCCAAGGAUCACGAGGAACUGGUGGCGGCCCACGGGACCACGGCGAGUCGGCGGCGGUCAGCUUCCCCAAUCCCCUUGGGUUGUUCCCCCUAGCUGCGGAUGUGACGGUGGUGGUGAUUCGUGUCGGCUCCUUCCCUUCCGCUCCAUCCAUGGAGAAGACUGGCAAGAUCGACGUCCCUCUCCGCUGCCCCAUCCUGCCUCUCAAUUUUGCCUGUAGGAUCCUGAAUUGUUCCAUUAGCAUGCCUCUUUGGUUUAUUUACUGGUGGCCAAGCAUCGAGAAUAUCUCAGUCAUCCACUGUGCAAUGUUCUUAGGAGAGGAAAAAACAUAGACAAAUCAAUUGAGUUUGAAGCCAGAAAGGGAUAUCAGAGGAACCUGCAAGGAAAAGUUAACAGGUUCAGGUUGUUGAUGAGAAGAGAAGAUUACUAGCCGAGCUGUAGGCUUUGUUGCUUGCCCAUGCUAUCGUACUCCUCCUAACAGAUUCCCUGGAAUGACUAAAUAUGCACUCCUUCGGAAAGCGUCUGCAGCUGCGCAUGCAUGGUAAAGGGGACUGUUGUUUAGCAUAUUAGUAACUUCCUGCAUCUAUCUGUCAUUGACCGAAAAAUACCAAAAAUGGAGCACAAGAGCUGUAAUCGAACCCAGGAGGUCAGGACCUGUUGAGACAGGAACACUCACCACUACGAUAAACCUUGCUGAGUAAGGGCAUGUAAUUUUUUCAAAGAGGUCUAAUUAAGAGUCUUGUUGCUUAUGUUGGUCCGGUAAGUUAUGAGUACAGUUACUUACCAGAUGAUAGUAUCAAUAUUCAAUAUGGAGGUUCACAAUAGGAACAUAUGUUUAAUGUUAAUGAUUUCUCUCACUAGGUUAAAUUCAUAAUUGUUUGAAUAUCAAGUUGAUGUUAUUUUAUUUGAUUAUGAUCUAAGCCCGUAACAAAGCAAGUUUGGUUGGUGUUGCAUCUAUUUGUCUCCAGUUUGUGCUUAUUUUUCAGCUGACUGUUCAAAUGUAGUUGCUGAGCAAAUCUUUGGAAGGGACCACAUCCUAGAUUCAUUUAAGCAACCCAGCUGCUUGUUUCACUCAUUCAGGCAUUACUAUUGUUGCACUGGCAGAGUAAUCCAAUGGAUGCACACGGGAAAGUUACAUGGUAAACACAAUGUAGUGUGUUUCAGCUCUUGGCAAUCACGGACUUUGAAGCUUAGUGUUUUGCAUUCUUAAUCUGCACUUUCAGUCAUGUGAAAUCCUUUUUAAGUAUUAAAUUUCAGACCAUCAGACUAAGCUUAAUCUUCAUUAGACUAAAAAGAUGAGAUCUCAAGGAAA